UGGGGAAUUUUGGACAAUGGGCGAAAGCCUGAUCCAGCAAUGCCGCGUGUGUGAAGAAGGCCUUCGGGUUGUAAAGCACUUUUGUCCGGAAAGAAAUCCUUGGCUCUAAUACAGUCGGGGGAUGACGGUACCGGAAGAAUAAGCACCGGCUAACUACGUGCCAGCAGCCGCGGUAAUACGUAGGGUGCAAGCGUUAAUCGGAAUUACUGGGCGUAAAGCGUGCGCAGGCGGUUUGCUAAGACCGAUGUGAAAUCCCCGGGCUCAACCUGGGAACUGCAUUGGUGACUGGCAGGCUAGAGUAUGGCAGAGGGGGGUAGAAUUCCACGUGUAGCAGUGAAAUGCGUAGAGAUGUGGAGGAAUACCGAUGGCGAAGGCAGCCCCCUGGGCCAAUACUGACGCUCAUGCACGAAAGCGUGGGGGAGCAAACAGGAUUAGAUACCCUGGUAGUCCACGCCCUAAACGAUGUCAACUAGUUGUUGGGGAUUCAUUUCCUUAGUAACGUAGCUAACGCGUGAAGUUGACCGCCUGGGGAGUACGGUCGCAAGAUUAAAACUCAAAUGAAUUGACGGGGUCAUA
Molecule: ribosomal RNA, 576 nt
Filed under: uncultured bacterium
Lineage: Bacteria
Description: partial 16S ribosomal RNA
Rfam family: Bacterial small subunit ribosomal RNA
Source: RNAcentral